Molecule: unclassified non-coding RNA, 331 nt
Filed under: soil metagenome
Description: partial contains 5.8S ribosomal RNA, internal transcribed spacer 2, and large subunit ribosomal RNA
Rfam family: 5.8S ribosomal RNA (bases 1-120)
Source: RNAcentral
GAUGAAGAACGUAGCGAAAUGCGAUAAGUAAUGUGAAUUGCAGAAUUCAGUGAAUCAUCGAAUCUUUGAACGCGCAUUGCGGCCCCUGGUAUUCCGGGGGGCAUGCCUGUUCGAGCGUCAUUUCACCACUCAAGCCUCGCUUGGUAUUGGGCAACGCGGUCCGCCGCGUGCCUCAAAUCGACCGGCUGGGUCUUCUGUCCCCUAAGCGUUGUGGAAACUAUUCGCUAAAGGGUGUUCGGGAGGCUACGCCGUAAAACAACCCCAUUUCUAAGGUUGACCUCGGAUCAGGUAGGGAUACCCGCUGAACUUAAGCAUAUCAAUAAGCGGAGGA